AUUGAACGCUGGCGGCAGGCUUAACACAUGCAAGUCGAACGAGUGGCGGACGGGUGAGUAAUGUAUGGGGAUCUGCACGAUAGAGGGGGAUAACUACUGGAAACGGUGGCUAAUACCGCAUACUAUCGGAUGAACCCAUAUGGGAGUCGCUAGUAGGUGGGGUAAAGGCUCACCUAGGCGACGAUCUCUAGCUGGUCUGAGAGGAGGAUCAGCAACACUGUGACUGAGAAACGGCCCAGACUCCUACGGGAGGCAGCAGUGGGGAAUAUUGAACAAUGGGCGCAAGCCUGAUGCAGCCAUGCCGCGUGGAUGAAGAAGGCCUUAGGUUUGUAAAGUACUUUAAGCGUGGAGGCGUUACCCGCAGAAGAAGCACCGGCUAACUCCGUGCCAGCAGCCGCGGUAAUAC
RNAcentral lists this ribosomal RNA (406 nucleotides) under uncultured bacterium. Its description in RNAcentral is "partial 16S ribosomal RNA". It matches the Rfam family "Bacterial small subunit ribosomal RNA", at positions 30 to 526 of the family's 1533-position model. The record is from RNAcentral.